Quercus robur (English oak) is the source of this 220-nucleotide long non-coding RNA. RefSeq lists it as uncharacterized. NCBI's taxonomy places the organism in Eukaryota, Viridiplantae, Streptophyta, Magnoliopsida, Fagales, Fagaceae. The record is from RefSeq and is a predicted model, not a curated record. The transcript is spliced from 2 exons.
GCACCCGUGCUUCAUAGGAAGACAUGGGGAAGGACUCGUACGAGGAAGCUAUUGAUGGUCUCAAGAAACUUCUCAGUGAGAAAGGAGAGCUGAAAGCUGCUGCAGCUGCAAAAGUGGAGCAGAUAACAGCAGAGUUACAAACAUCAACUUCUAAUGGCGCGUUUAACCCAGUUGAGAGGAUCAAAACUGGUUUCGUUCACUUCAAAAAAGAGAAAUAUGA